This 118-nucleotide unclassified non-coding RNA is filed under the name Epilithonimonas pallida. RNAcentral describes it as "Flavo-1 RNA". Lineage: Bacteria; Pseudomonadati; Bacteroidota; Flavobacteriia; Flavobacteriales; Weeksellaceae. The record is from RNAcentral.
CACGCAGCCCGACUUGAGCGGAGCUCGUUUUUGUUAUUGCAAUUGUACCAAAUUUCAAAGGAUAGCUUUACUUUCUUCGCAAUGACAAAAACAGCGGGAGCGGAAGGCGGAAAUAGCU